Cyprinus carpio carpio is the source of this 1342-nucleotide long non-coding RNA. NCBI's taxonomy places the organism in Eukaryota, Metazoa, Chordata, Actinopteri, Cypriniformes, Cyprinidae. The record is from Ensembl.
AUGGAGUACCAACUCAUGGACACUGCCUUGCCCCAGGACCCAACAGUCUUUGGUGUUGAGGAGUUUUGGGGAAGAAUGUCCACAACAAAGAACAAGGUGACUGGCUUGAACCAAUUUGGGAGGCUAUCAAAAAUCGCAGCCUUGGUUUUAGUCCUUCCACAUUCUAAUGCUGAUGCCGAGAGGGUAUUUUCAAUGGUUGGUUUGAACAAAACCUCAACACGAAACAGCUUGUCUCUGGACGGGACAUUGUCCUCAAUCAUGACCCUGAAAAUGGCUGGGCUUGAGCUGAACUGUUUCAAAUGGGAGCCAACACCACAAAUGAUAAAGGAGUCCAAAAAGACAACAAACACUUACAAUAAACAACAGCAGUCAUAAUCUCUCUCUCUCUCUCUCUCUCUCUCUCUCACACACACACACACACACACACACACACACACACACACACACACACAAACACACACACACACACACACACACACACACACACACAUACACACACACAAAAAUUGAAUAAAUGGAAAUUGAAUAAAUGCUUUGUAUUUGGUUAAACUGUCAGUGUCAUGUGUCAAAUAUUUUCUUCUGCAAGUCUGAGCAAUUAUUAAUAUUAACAAGAAAAACACUAAUAAUAAUAUUAUUAACGGAACACCCCUAUUCCCUUUGACCCCCUGACGGUGGGGGGUGGGGGGGAUGUCACUCUUGCCUGUCUUCAAAACUUGAGAGCCCUGCUUAACUUCUACAUGACUUCACUUAAUUAUCAGUAAGAUACUUAAUAUACUGACAUUGUCACUAGCACACAGCAUUUUCUAUAAUUUUUUAUUUUUAUUGAUUUACUUUUUUUAACUACCUCUAUUGCUGCUAUGUAAAUACCUUGAACAACCUGUUAGCACAUUCUUCUCUUGUACAUUCCUGCUCAUCUUAAUAUUUAUUAAGUCUACAGUAUACUGUCCUGCACAUUUUAUUUUAUUCCUUUUUUUCCUUACUUUUUCCAUACAAUAUUUAUAUAUACAUUUCUUGUGUUUUUAUUCUUUAAUAAUUGCACUGUCCAUGGAGUGGACCUGACUUACAUUUCACUGCUGGUCAUAUGCUCUCCAUAUAACCAUGUAUGUGACAAAUAAAAAUCUUGAAUCUUGAAUCUAUGUUGUCAUGAUGUUGAUGGGGAAGAUCGUCCAGGGUGAUGUCCAAUCAUAGGACCUGAAAGUGGUGACAAUCAAAACUACUAGGUAGGUAAACAAAGAAAAACCUCCCACAACAUUAUGGAAUGUAACACGGGGGCAAUCCCAUUUACAUGGAAUAGAAAUUGAACACUGAAGUCUUUAACAUAUUUGGAGUACAUAUAGUGUAG